ACGGAAGGCAGCAGUGAGGAAUAUUGGUCAAUGGACGGAAGUCUGAACUAGCCAUGCCGCGUGAGGGAAGAAUGCCCUAUGGGUUGUAAACUUCUUUUGCAGCAGAGUAAUAAGUGGGAUGCGUCCCAUGAUGAGAGUAUGCGGCGAAUAAGCAUCGGCUAACUCCGUGCCAGCAGCCGCGGUAAUACGGAGGAUGCAAGCGUUAUCCGGAUUUAUUGGGUUUAAAGGGUGCGUAGGCGGACUGUUAAGUCAGCGGUGAAAUACCACGGCUCAACCGUGGGGCUGCCGUUGAUACUGCCGGUCUGGAGUACGAUCGGCGCCGGCGGAAUGUGUCAUGUAGCGGUGAAAUGCAUAGAUAUGACACAGAACACCGAUCGCGAAGGCAGCUGGCGAGAACGAUACUGACGCUGAGGCACGAAGGUGCGGGGAUCAAACAGGAUUAGAUACCCUGGUA
Molecule: ribosomal RNA, 454 nt
Filed under: uncultured bacterium
Lineage: Bacteria
Description: partial 16S ribosomal RNA
Rfam family: Bacterial small subunit ribosomal RNA
Source: RNAcentral